Molecule: long non-coding RNA, 526 nt
Organism: Pongo pygmaeus (Bornean orangutan)
Lineage: Eukaryota; Metazoa; Chordata; Mammalia; Primates; Hominidae
Exons: 3
Source: RefSeq, a predicted model, not a curated record
CCUGGGAAGGGAGACUUCCAGAGGUGGGCGGACUGAGACUGCUCCUUGGAGCAGUACACCUGACUGUCCCAGCCAUUGGAGAGAGCCCAGUGCUGGUAGCCUUCGACCGGGAUGAGCGCGUCGUGACGCGGCUCCGGGUGCCCGCUGAUCCCGGGCACCACCGACACGUCCAGUGCUUCCACCUCCCUCCCUACAUUCCCUCUACGCAUGCGGAGACACUUCAUUAAGAAAUCCGCCGGCUCCCGCUCUCCACCUCUCAGCACCCCUCCCGCGCCCACGUGACCCGCUCUGCGCAUGUGAUGCUCCGGCCAGGUCUCCUGGGGUUCCCGCCCCUCGAGGUGGGGCGGGGCGAAAGGAAAAAGGUCUCUGCUGAUUGGAUCUCAGCCACUUUCCCCAAAACUCCAGAUGUCUGAAAAGGACGCUCUCCUUUACCUCGCUGGAUUUUUCUCAAACGGAGAGGGGUGUGACAACCCCCAAAUACAGAAUUCAUCACCUGGGGCAGGGGAUCGAGAGGCAAUGGAAUAUA